AUUUGGACAUGGGCGCAAGCCUGNUCCAGCAAUGCCGCGUGAGUGAUGAAGGCCUUAGGGUUGUAAAGCUCUUUCGGCGGGGACGAUGAUGACGGUACCCGCAGAAGAAGCCCCGGCUAACUUCGUGCCAGCAGCCGCGGUAAUACGAAGGGGGCGAGCGUUGUUCGGAAUUACNUGGGCGUAAAGGGCGCGCAGGCNGGCGCCGGCAGUCGGGCGUGAAAGCCCCGGGCUCAACCUGGGAAUUGCGCUUGAUACUCCGGUGCUGGAGUUCGGGAGAGGAGAGUGGAAUUCCCAGUGUAGAGGUGAAAUUCGUAGAUAUUGGGAAGAACACCGGUGGCGAAGGCGGCUCUCUGGACCGAGACUGACGCUGAGGCGCGAAAGCGUGGGGAGCAAACAGGAUUAGAUACCCUGGUAGUCCACGCUGUAAACGAUGUGUGCUAGACGUUGGCGGGCCUAGCCUGUCAGUGUCGCAGCUAACGCGAUAAGCACACCGCCUGGGGAGUACGGCCGCAAGGUUAAAACUCAAAAAAAUUGACGGA
Molecule: ribosomal RNA, 539 nt
Filed under: uncultured bacterium
Lineage: Bacteria
Description: bacterial SSU rRNA
Rfam family: Bacterial small subunit ribosomal RNA
Source: RNAcentral